RNAcentral lists this ribosomal RNA (501 nucleotides) under Triticum aestivum (bread wheat). RNAcentral's name for it is "partial small subunit ribosomal RNA". Lineage: Eukaryota; Viridiplantae; Streptophyta; Magnoliopsida; Poales; Poaceae. The record is from RNAcentral.
AUGGCAAGGCCGACCGUGGUGGUGGCCGGCCGUGGCUGCCUGCCGCCGCUGCCGCUGCGUGUGCCGUUGAUGCUGCUUGCCGUCGCCGCCCUAUGUUGCUGUUUGCCGCUGCCCGCCGCCGUUGUUGCCUGCUGCAUGCGUUGCUGCUUCUGCUUGCGUCGCUGCUGCCCAAUGCCUGUGUUGUUGCUUCUGCUUGCGCCGUCGCUGCUCACUACCGCUACACCGGCCUUGGUGCCGGCCGGGCAUGGUGCUGUCCAGCGCCCCUCGUGCGGUUCGCCAGGCGUCAGUGGUGUAGCUAGUGCGCGCGUCGCCGCUUGUGGACUGCAGCGACCACCAGUCGCCGUCGUGGGAUUCCAGCAGCCCAACCCCCUCCCUUCCGCGGUGGUUCCGUCGAGGAUGGGGGAAAGGGUGUGGGAGGAAGAAGAUCUAGUGCCAACGUCCGUCUCCGCACAGCAGUUUGCCCGCGCCACAUGUACCCGACAGGUGGGCCAUCCCUGUUAG